AACGAACGCUGGCGGCAUGCCUAACACAUGCAAGUCGAACGAGACCUUCGGGUCUAGUGGCGCACGGGUGCGUAACGCGGGGGAACCUGCCCUUAGGUUCGGAAUAACUCCCCGAAAGGGGUGCUAAUACCGGAUAAUGUCUUCGGACCAAAGAUUUAUCGCCUUUGGAUGGGCCCGCGUUGGUUUAGCUAGUUGGUAGGGUAAAAGCCUACCAAGGCGAGGAUCCAUAGCUGGUCUGAGAGGAUGAUCAGCCACACUGGGACUGAGACACGGCCCAGACUCCUACGGGAGGCAGCAGUGGGGAAUAUUGGACAAGGGGCGAAAGCCUGAUCCAGCAAUGCCGCGUGAGUGAUGAAGGCCUUAGGGUUGUAAAGCUCUUUUACCCGGGAUGAUAAUGACAGUACCGGGAGAAUAAGCACCGGCUAACUCCGUG
RNAcentral lists this ribosomal RNA (433 nucleotides) under uncultured bacterium. Its description in RNAcentral is "partial 16S ribosomal RNA". It matches the Rfam family "Bacterial small subunit ribosomal RNA", at positions 29 to 507 of the family's 1533-position model. The record is from RNAcentral.